GAUGAACGCUGGCGGCGUGCCUAAUACAUGCAAGUAGAACGCUGAAGGAAGGAGCUUGCUCUUUCCGGGUGAGUUGCGGACGGGUGAGUAACGCGUAGAUAACCUGCCUGGUAGCGGGGGAUAACUACUGGAAACGAUAGCUAAUACCGCAUAACAGUAGAUGUUGCAUGAUACCUACUUAAAAGGUGCAUUUGCACCACUACCAGAUGGACCUGGGUUGUAUUAGUUAGUUGGUAAGGUAACGGCCAACCAAGGGAACGAUACGUAGCCGCCCUGGAAGGUGGACCGGCACACUGGGAAUGAGACACGGGCCAGACUUCUAAGGGGAGGAACAGGAGGGAAACAUCGGCAAUGGGCCGAAGGCCGGCCGAAGAACGCCGGGUGAGUGGAGGAAGGUCUCGGGUCGGAAAGCUCUGUUGUAAGGGAAAGAAGAGUGGGAGAGUGAAAAGUUCACGCUGUGACGGUAUCUAACCAGAAAGCGACGGCUAACUACGUG
Molecule: ribosomal RNA, 496 nt
Filed under: uncultured bacterium
Lineage: Bacteria
Description: partial 16S ribosomal RNA
Rfam family: Bacterial small subunit ribosomal RNA
Source: RNAcentral